RNAcentral lists this ribosomal RNA (460 nucleotides) under uncultured bacterium. RNAcentral's name for it is "bacterial SSU rRNA". It matches the Rfam family "Bacterial small subunit ribosomal RNA", at positions 339 to 794 of the family's 1533-position model. The record is from RNAcentral.
GUACGGGAGGCAGCAGUAAGGAAUAUUGGGCAAUGGGCGCAAGCCUGACCCAGCCAUGCCGCGUGCAGGAUUGACGGCCCUAUGGGUUGUAAACUGCUUUUGUACGGGAAAAAACCCCCGGUCGUGUAUCGGGGUUGAUGUUACCGUAAGAAUAAGCAUCGGCUAACUCCGUGCCAGCAGCCGCGGUAAUACGGAGGAUGCAAGCGUUAUCCGGAUUCAUUGGGUUUAAAGGGUGCGCAGGCGGAACGAUAAGUCAGUGGUGAAAGCCUACAGCUUAACUGUAGAAUUGCCAUUGAUACUGUCGCUCUUGAGUAUAGUUGGAGUGGGCGGAAUGUAUCAUGUAGCGGUGAAAUGCUUAGAUAUGAUACAGAACACCAAUCGCGAAGGCAGCUCACUAAACUAUAACUGACGCUCAUGCACGAAAGCGUGGGGAGCAAACAGGCUUAGAUACCCCGGUAGA